This 74-nucleotide transfer RNA is filed under the name Chitinophagaceae bacterium. RNAcentral's name for it is "tRNA-Asp". It matches the Rfam family "tRNA". From Rfam's summary of the family: Transfer RNA (tRNA) molecules are approximately 80 nucleotides in length. Their secondary structure includes four short double-helical elements and three loops (D, anti-codon, and T loops). The record is from RNAcentral. Lineage: Bacteria; Pseudomonadati; Bacteroidota; Chitinophagia; Chitinophagales; Chitinophagaceae. RNAcentral also lists the same sequence under 1 other name.
GGAUCGGUAGUUCAGUUGGUUAGAAUGCCGCCCUGUCACGGCGGAGGUCGCGGGUCCGAGUCCCGUCCGGUCCG